Molecule: long non-coding RNA, 1013 nt
Filed under: Astyanax mexicanus (Mexican tetra)
Lineage: Eukaryota; Metazoa; Chordata; Actinopteri; Characiformes; Acestrorhamphidae
Description: lncRNA (ENSAMXG00005022326.1)
Source: RNAcentral
AUGAUUUACCUUGUUCUCUCUUUGAACAGACAACUGAAUCGCAUUUAUUGGAAAAAAAGUUGGACGUCCCUGCAACCAGUGCCAUUAGGAUCUCUUCCUCUCUGGCUGGUGAAACGUCUGGCACAGAAACUGGACCCUGCGUAUUCUGAUCAUCUCAGCACCUACCAGAAGGUGGCGAUGCAGCUGGGAGUACAGUCUGAUGUUUUGAAUGAACUACAUGGUUUUGAGCAGCUUUUUCAUUUCCUGUCGUCCACUACGCUGCUGACUGUUUCAGAUUUACUACAGGCUCUCAGAAACACCCAGAGAGUCGACGCCCUGCUGCUGGUUAGCAAAUAUGCUAAAAACAUUACUGCGGUUAAUGAUUUUAGCAGUGAUGCUAGAAUCAGCAGGAACAGCACGAUACAUAAUGCAAAUAGAGCAAAUACAGCCCUUAGCAUACAGAUAGAUAGCAGUUCAAAUGGCUGAGAAAUGUUGUAUUAUUAAGAAAGCUGCUAUCACAAAUUCGUAAAUGAACUGUGAUUGUGGUAUCUGUCGUUCUGACUGACACCAGGCUGAAUACGCUACCGGGUGUAAUCACAGCUGACAUCAUUUCGGUAUUACAAACUUAAGCUGUGCAUCAACAGCUCCUGAGGCCUGCUAAUCACAGCAUGGAGGUGUGGUUUUAACAAGAAAAAAUAAUCACUCAUUAGCGCCUUAUACGCUAAUUUGUUCAGCUGCAGGAAUGUUAAAAAAAGAUUUCUCAUUAUUAUCUUUGUGUUUUAAGUAAAAUGAGUGGAAAUGCGUUUUAGCAGACAGUCCAGGCCAGACAUAGCAGGCGGUGUCCUAUUUCAGGUAAAUCUGUUCCUACCUGUUUAGGAAUUUAGGUCAGAAUUAAAGAUUGAUGCUAAUGUUUAACUUUAGCGCUAGCAUUCCUAACAUAAACACUAGUAGGGUGUGAGACAUGGCUUUGCAAACCACACUUUGGGAGUUUGGGAGAAAAUAAAUAUUUGAACGCUCUUUGCUUUAAUUACUUC